Molecule: ribosomal RNA, 255 nt
Filed under: uncultured bacterium
Lineage: Bacteria
Description: partial 16S ribosomal RNA
Rfam family: Bacterial small subunit ribosomal RNA
Source: RNAcentral
UACGAAGGGGGCUAGCGUUGCUCGGAAUCACUGGGCGUAAAGCGCACGUAGGCGGAUUGCUAAGUCAGGGGUGAAAUCCUGGAGCUCAACUCCAGAACUGCCUUUGAUACUGGCGACCUUGAGUCCGGGAGAGGUGAGUGGGAACUGCGAGUGUAGAGGUGAAAUUCGUAGAUAUUCGCAAGAACACCAGUGGCGAAGGCGGCUCACUGGCCCGGUACUGACGCUGAGGUGCGAAAGCGUGGGGAGCAAACAGGG